RNAcentral lists this small nucleolar RNA (67 nucleotides) under Carlito syrichta (Philippine tarsier). Lineage: Eukaryota; Metazoa; Chordata; Mammalia; Primates; Tarsiidae. The record is from RNAcentral.
AUUCUAUGAUGAAUCACACUAGUUCACUAUAACCAAAAAUAAAAACGUUAACAUCUAUCUGAGAAAC